GUGGCCAACAGAUCGCCAGAUCGUUGAGCUGCAUUGGCGGGAUUUCGCCGUCUUCGUUUCUCUUUCUUCGCGGACGAACACGCGCUGGGCCUGCAACGGCAGGAUCCAGGGUCCUUAACGGGAUGUGCGUUAGGGGCUUGUAGCUCAGUUGGUUAGAGCGCGCGCUUGAUAAGCGUGAGGUCGGAAGUUCAAGUCUUCCCAGGCCCACCACUUUCAUCGAGUGAGCAUUCGUCUUCUGGUUACGGGGCCAUAGCUCAGCUGGGAGAGCGCGUGCUUUGCAAGCAUGAGGUCGUCGGUUCGAUCCCGUCUGGCUCCACCAGAUGGUUUGAUCACCGAGAUCUUGACCGUCGUCCGCGAAACAUCACUUCGCAUCCUGCUAGUCUGGAUAGACAGCAGUUUGCGUGUUUUCUGACAUCGUAAAGAGGAGAUCGAUCCGAGUUGGGUCGUGCAGCAUAUCGUUGCGCGAGCCUUCAUUAUCUCCGGAUCAUUUCGGCGCUCGCUUCCAGCCGUGAGGUUGGAUGCGGGUUGUAAAUGAUCCUUUUAGCGAAGCUUGACCGCCUCGCUAUCGGAACGAUCUUACGAAGCAAGCUGGUCUUUCUAGUCAAUGUCCGGCUGCGGAUAGCGUUCAUCGAGGGCGCGUGCCGCAAGGCAAUUCUGCAGACAACAUUCUGCCGAGUGUGUGGACAUUGAUAAUGAGAGCAAUCAAGUGCCUUAAGGGUGUUCGGUGGAUGCCUUGGCGCUGAGAGGCGAUGAAGGACGUGCUACGCUGCGAUAAGCCGUGGGGGAGCUG
Molecule: unclassified non-coding RNA, 790 nt
Filed under: Bradyrhizobium sp.
Lineage: Bacteria; Pseudomonadati; Pseudomonadota; Alphaproteobacteria; Hyphomicrobiales; Nitrobacteraceae
Description: partial may contain 16S ribosomal RNA, 16S-23S ribosomal RNA intergenic spacer, and 23S ribosomal RNA
Rfam family: tRNA (bases 134-207)
Source: RNAcentral